Molecule: ribosomal RNA, 430 nt
Filed under: Cryptosporidium baileyi
Lineage: Eukaryota; Apicomplexa; Conoidasida; Eucoccidiorida; Cryptosporidiidae
Description: SSU rRNA
Rfam family: Eukaryotic small subunit ribosomal RNA
Source: RNAcentral
CGUAGUUGGAUUUCUGUUAAUACUUAUAUACAAUACCACGGUAUUUAUAUAACAUUAACAUAAUUCACAUUACUUAUUUAAAGUAUGUGAAACUUUACUUUGAGAAAAUUAGAGUGCUUAAAGCAGGCUAUUGCCUUGAAUACUCCAGCAUGGAAUAAUAUUAAAGAUUUUUAUCUUUCUUAUUGGUUCUAGGAUAAAAAUAAUGAUUAAUAGGGACAGUUGGGGGCAUUUGUAUUUAACAGUCAGAGGUGAAAUUCUUAGAUUUGUUAAAGACAAACUACUGCGAAAGCAUUUGCCAAGGAUGUUUUCAUUAAUCAAGAACGAAAGUUAGGGGAUCGAAGACGAUCAGAUACCGUCGUAGUCUUAACCAUAAACUAUGCCGACUAGAGAUUGGAGGUUGUUCCUUACUCCUUCAGCACCUUAUGAGAAA